Molecule: transfer RNA, 74 nt
Filed under: Treponema bryantii
Lineage: Bacteria; Pseudomonadati; Spirochaetota; Spirochaetia; Treponematales; Treponemataceae
Description: tRNA_Trp_CCA
Rfam family: tRNA
About the family: Transfer RNA (tRNA) molecules are approximately 80 nucleotides in length. Their secondary structure includes four short double-helical elements and three loops (D, anti-codon, and T loops).
Source: RNAcentral
ACGCGUAUAGCUCAGCUGGUAGUAGCAUCGGUCUCCAAAACCGAAGGUCUUAGGUUCGAAUCCUAAUGCGCGUG